RNAcentral lists this ribosomal RNA (492 nucleotides) under uncultured bacterium. RNAcentral describes it as "partial 16S ribosomal RNA". It matches the Rfam family "Bacterial small subunit ribosomal RNA", at positions 29 to 507 of the family's 1533-position model. The record is from RNAcentral.
AGUGAACGCUGGCGGUAGGCCUAACACAUGCAAGUCGAACGGCAGCACAGUAAGAGCUUGCUCUUACGGGUGGCGAGUGGCGGACGGGUGAGGAAUACAUCGGAAUCUACUUUUUCGUGGGGGAUAACGUAGGGAAACUUACGCUAAUACAGCAUACGACCUACGGGUGAAAGCAGGGGAUCUUCGGACCUUGCGCGAAUGAAUGAGCCGAUGUCGGAUUAGCUAGUUGGCGGGGUAAAGGCCCAGCAAGGCGACGAUCCGUAGCUGGUCUGGGAGGAUGAUAGGCCACACUAGAACUUAGACACGGUCCAGACUCCUACGGGAGGCAGCAGUGGGGAAUAUUGGACAAUGGGCGCAAGCCUGAUCCAGCCAUACCGCGUGGGUGAAGAAGGCCUUCGGGUUGUAAAGCCCUUUUGUUGGGAAAGAAAAGCAGCAGGUUAAUACCCCGCUGUUCUGACGGUACCCAAAGAAUAAGCACCGGCUAACUUCGUG